RNAcentral lists this transfer RNA (71 nucleotides) under Nanobdellota archaeon. Its description in RNAcentral is "tRNA-Gly". It matches the Rfam family "tRNA". From Rfam's summary of the family: Transfer RNA (tRNA) molecules are approximately 80 nucleotides in length. Their secondary structure includes four short double-helical elements and three loops (D, anti-codon, and T loops). The record is from RNAcentral. Lineage: Archaea; Nanobdellati; Nanobdellota.
GCAUCGGUAGUCCAAUGGUAAGACAUCACCCUGCCACGGUGAAAAUCCGGGUUCGAACCCCGGCCGAUGCA